UACACCUACGGGGGGCAGCAGUGAGGGAUAUUGGUCAAUGGGGGAAACCCUGAACCAGCAACGCCGCGUGAGGGAAGACGGUUUUCGGAUUGUAAACUGUUGUCGCAGGGGAAGAAGACAGUGACGGUACCCUGUGAGAAAGUCACGGCUAACUACGUGCCAGCAGCCGCGGUAAUACGUAGGUGACAAGCGUUGUCCGGAUUUACUGGGUGUAAAGGGCGCGUAGGCGGGAUAGCAAGUCAGUCGUGAAAUGCCGAGGCUUAACCUCGGAGCUGCGAUUGAAACUGUUAUUCUUGAGUAUCGGG
Molecule: ribosomal RNA, 305 nt
Filed under: uncultured bacterium
Lineage: Bacteria
Description: bacterial SSU rRNA
Rfam family: Bacterial small subunit ribosomal RNA
Source: RNAcentral